CCUCUGGUAGCUCAGUUGGUAGAGCGGUGGACUGUAGUUGGUGAAAGUAAAAAAGCAGUAAUCCAUAGGUCGCUGGUUCAAAUCCGGCCCGGAGGA
RNAcentral lists this transfer RNA (96 nucleotides) under Rhodnius prolixus. RNAcentral's name for it is "tRNA tRNA-Tyr". It matches the Rfam family "tRNA". Rfam says of the family: Transfer RNA (tRNA) molecules are approximately 80 nucleotides in length. Their secondary structure includes four short double-helical elements and three loops (D, anti-codon, and T loops). Further hydrogen bonds mediate the characteristic L-shaped molecular structure. tRNAs have two regions of fundamental functional importance: the anti-codon, which is responsible for specific mRNA codon recognition, and the 3' end, to which the tRNAs corresponding amino acid is attached (by aminoacyl-tRNA synthetases). tRNAs cope with the degeneracy of the genetic code in two manners: having more than one tRNA (with a specific anti-codon) for a particular amino acid; and 'wobble' base-pairing, i.e. permitting non-standard base-pairing at the 3rd anti-codon position. The record is from Rfam by way of RNAcentral. Lineage: Eukaryota; Metazoa; Arthropoda; Insecta; Hemiptera; Reduviidae.